This 274-nucleotide ribosomal RNA is filed under the name uncultured bacterium. RNAcentral's name for it is "partial 16S ribosomal RNA". It matches the Rfam family "Bacterial small subunit ribosomal RNA", at positions 523 to 796 of the family's 1533-position model. The record is from RNAcentral.
AUACGGAGGGUGCGAGCGUUAAUCGGAAUUACUGGGCGUAAAGCGUACGUAGGCGGUUGGUUAAGUUAGAUGUGAAAGCCCCGGGCUUAACCUGGGAACUACAUUUAAAACUGGCGAACUAGAGUUGAGUAGAGGGGAGUGGAAUUUCAGGUGUAGCGGUGAAAUGCGUAGAGAUCUGAAGGAACACCAGUGGCGAAGGCGACUCCCUGGACUCGAACUGACGCUGAGGUACGAAAGCGUGGGUAGCAAACGGAAUUAGAAACCCUAGUAGUCC